This 874-nucleotide ribosomal RNA is filed under the name Sarocladium bacillisporum. RNAcentral's name for it is "eukaryotic LSU rRNA". It matches the Rfam family "Eukaryotic large subunit ribosomal RNA", at positions 1 to 911 of the family's 3401-position model. The record is from RNAcentral. Lineage: Eukaryota; Fungi; Ascomycota; Sordariomycetes; Hypocreales; Sarocladiaceae.
GGAUCAGGUAGGAAUACCCGCUGAACUUAAGCAUAUCAAUAAGCGGAGGAAAAGAAACCAACAGGGAUUGCCUCAGUAACGGCGAGUGAAGCGGCAACAGCUCAAAUUUGAAAUCUGGCCGCAAGGUCCGAGUUGUAAUUUGUAGAGGAUGCUUUUGGCGAGGUGACUUCCGAGUUCCCUGGAACGGGACGCCAUAGAGGGUGAGAGCCCCGUACGGUCGUGCCACCGAGCCUCUGUAAAGCUCCUUCGACGAGUCGAGUAGUUUGGGAAUGCUGCUCUAAAUGGGAGGUGUACGUCUUCUAAAGCUAAAUACCGGCCAGAGACCGAUAGCGCACAAGUAGAGUGAUCGAAAGAUGAAAAGCACUUUGAAAAGAGGGUUAAAAAGUACGUGAAAUUGUUGAAAGGGAAGCAUUCAUGACCAGACUUGGGCUUGGUUGAACAUCCGGCGUUCUCGCCGGUGCACUCUGCCAGCUCAGGCCAGCAUCAGUUUGCCCCGGGGGACAAAGGCGGCGGGAAUGUGGCUCCCUACGGGGAGUGUUAUAGCCCGUCGUGUAAUGCCCUGGGGUGGACUGAGGUUCGCGCUUCGGCACGGAUGCUGGCGUAAUGGUCAUCAAUGACCCGUCUUGAAACACGGACCAAGGAGUCGUCUUCGUAUGCGAGUGUUCGGGUGUCAAACCCCUACGCGUAAUGAAAGUGAACGUAGGUGAGAGCUUCGGCGCAUCACCGACCGAUCCUGAUGUUCUCGGAUGGAUUUGAGUAAGAGCAUACGGGGCCGGACCCGAAAGAAGGUGAACUAUGCCUGUAUAGGGUGAAGCCAGAGGAAACUCUGGUGGAGGCUCGCAGCGGUUCUGACGUGCAAAUCGAUCGUCAAAUA